Molecule: unclassified non-coding RNA, 348 nt
Filed under: soil metagenome
Description: partial contains 5.8S ribosomal RNA, internal transcribed spacer 2, and large subunit ribosomal RNA
Rfam family: 5.8S ribosomal RNA (bases 1-120)
Source: RNAcentral
GAUGAAGAACGUAGCGAAAUGCGAUAAGUAAUGUGAAUUGCAGAAUUCAGUGAAUCAUCGAAUCUUUGAACGCACAUUGCGCCCGCCAGUAUUCUGGCGGGCAUGCCUGUCUGAGCGUCAUUUCAACCCUCAUGCCCCUAGGGCGUGGUGUUGGGGAUCGGCCAAAGCCCGCGAGGGACGGCCGGCCCCUAAAUCUAGUGGCGGACCCGUCGUGGCCUCCUCUGCGAAGUAGUGAUAUUCCGCAUCGGAGAGCGACGAGCCCCUGCCGUUAAACCCCCAACUUUCCAAGGUUGACCUCAGAUCAGGUAGGAAUAACCGCUGAACUUAAGCAUAUCAAUAAGCGGAGGA